AUCAUGAUUUUAUGCUUCAGGUCAGAAUCGUUAGGAACGCAAAGUCUAGAAUUGACUCGAAGUAUUCCUUCUUCAUCGAUUCUUGCUUCUGGAAUAGCACCUUCUUGCACUUUCUUCUUCAUUUGUAUCAGCCCCAGGUCCGUAGCUUGAGCAGCUUUAACUUUAUCAAUUAAAGUCAGUUCUACUCGUAUAUUCGCCAUCAUCAUGUGGGACCCUGGAG
Molecule: long non-coding RNA, 220 nt
Filed under: Panax ginseng (ginseng)
Lineage: Eukaryota; Viridiplantae; Streptophyta; Magnoliopsida; Apiales; Araliaceae
Description: long non-coding RNA (PGIN_LNC003997)
Source: RNAcentral